GGGGCCGGGGGAGGAGCGCGGUGUGAGGGAGCACAGGGAGGGAGAGACGUGAGGAGUCGUGGAAAAACACGGAUGGAUGCGUAGGGUGCAGCAAUGGGGCUGGAAGCGGCGGAGGGGCGGCCGCAGGACCACCUGUGGGACGGCAGCCCGCCCUCACGGAGCUGGGUGCUGAGGGAAACUUUGAAUUAAAAACUAAUAAUAAACCCACCGCAAGUAGCGGGGUGGUUCCCUGAAAAGUCAGGGUGGGGGUUGUGAGCUGGUUUUGUCGGGGGUCCCCUCUGGCCUCACUGUGGUUUAGGGAUUUAUAGGGAAAUAGGGAUGGGGAGGAGUUGGUUUGUGGAUUUGGAAUGGAAUAAGGAUGGGGAAGAGUUGGUUAAUGGAUUUAUAAGGGAACAGGGAUGGGGAAUAGUUAGGUCAAGGAUUUAUAGGGGAAUAGGGAUGGGUAACAGUUGGUUUAUGGGUUUAUAGUAGAAAAGGGAUAAGGAGGGGAUGGUUUAUGGAUUGAUAGGGGAAUAGGGAUGGGGAAUGGUUGAUUCGUGGAUUUAUAGUGAAAUAGGGAUGAGGACAGAUGGGUUCAUGGAUUUAUAGUGAAAUAGGGAAGAGGAAGGGUUGGUUUAUGGAUUUAUAAAGGAAUAGGCAUGAGGAAUGGGGAAUUGAUUUGUUGGGGAAUGGUGGAUUUAUUGGGGAAUAGGGAUGGCAAAUGGUUGGACUGUGGAUUUAUAGGGGAAUAGGGAUGGGGAAUGGUUGGAUUGUGGAUUUAUAGAGGAAUAAGGAUGGAGAACAGUUGGUUAAUGGAUCAGUCAGGGACUAGAGAUAGGGAAUGGUUGACAGUGAUGAUCUUUUAGGCUAAAAAGGCUUUUUUGCUGUGCCUUCAUGAAGAAGUGGGUAAAAUCUAGUUAUUUACACAGCAGAAGUUGGGCUUAUCCCUGUAACAGCCAACCCUUGCCCUCUGCUUUCCAUCUCCUGCCAGGGGCUUGGAAAUCUGAGGCUUGGGGGUGUGGUUGGGUCUUUCUGCAGUCCCACAACAAGAACAGUCUGGAGGAAAGGAUGGGAAUUUGGAAACGGGACACCCCCACUGCUCUUCUGGAUGGGACUGAUGGAAACACAGCUUCACACCUUGGGGGUGUGCAAGUGUUUGUGAUCAGAUAACACAAGAUCGGUGCUUAUAAAGAUGUUCAGGAGCUGAAACACUCACAAAUCUAAGGUUCUGAAAUCCUGCACGUUGGAACCACAGCUCUGUAACAUCAUUUAUUCCAAGAAGGAAAGAUAAACACUUCUGUCAUUCAGGUGAUUAAAGCAGGAUUAAAUCACUCAGCUGCAAAAACUGCUGCUUCUGCCUGGUUUUCUGCCACUGCUGGAGCUGAGGCUGCUCCUGCAUCCGUGUUCUAGAGGAGCAGCAAAGCUCCAGGGAGGGGGAAUGGGACAAAAAUCCUUUGUGAGGAGUAGCAGAAAGCCCUGUGUGUUUUGUGCUUUGCUGCAUCACGCUCUCAGGGCUCUCCUGGAAGGUGGAAAUGGAUGUUUGUGGCAUUUAGCAGCAUCAGGGGAAUUCAUCCUGCUCCAAUUUGCUGACGAGGGAAGAACAUGAGAGGAAAACAUGAGCUCCCUUCCAAAGCAUGUGCACUCCAUGCAUAGCAGUGCCCAUUUAGUACCUCCCCCAAAAUGGGAAUAAAAUACAUUAAUUUAUUGAUUUAUUGAAACAGGCUUUGAAAUCAAGUAGAUCUGAUUGCCUUCUCUCUCUAUUCCACUACAAAAAAACUCUGCUUAUUCUUCAUUUUGAGAGGUGUCUGGAGAUGCAGCCAAGCACCAAAACAGGACAGAGAUGUCCAUCAGGACAUGUUUUCAUAGAAAUCAUUGUCUGUGAUGACUUCACCCUCUCAUUUAGUCAUGGAAUAAUUUAAAUGUUCCUGUUGGUCAGCUCUCUGUGGAGACAAAAGACAGCAAAAGCUUGUGAGGCUUUAUCAAAACACUGGAGAGUAAUAUUUCUACACUUAUCAGACCUAUAUUUUAUAAGUCUUAAUAAAAAAAAAAAAGGUUCUUAAAUCUGCCCCUCUCCUUCCUUAAUACUUCUGGUUCAUCUCCUCACAGGUAACAGUUAAGUACCAGUUAUCUAAUUUUAAAUACUCCCCCACUAAAUCACUCUUUAGUGUGUCAGAAUCUAUUCUGAUCUUUGUGGGACAAGUAAUUAGAACACCUUUUCUAGCUGGAAAUUCUAGCUGAAAAUUGUCAUCCCUGUGAGAAUGAUUUCAUUUGAAGGUCAGGCUUUCUGCAGACCCACUUGUGCUGGAAGGAGACUCUGCCAAAUGAAGCCAGAAUUUUUAGGUGUUUACCAGCACAGGGAAGAAUUUAUUUUUCCAAGAUCUUUGUGAGAUACUGAACUAGAACAAAACAGUCAUCAGGCCAAGAAAAAAAGUCUGUGCUCUC
Taeniopygia guttata (zebra finch) is the source of this 2421-nucleotide non-coding RNA. NCBI's taxonomy places the organism in Eukaryota, Metazoa, Chordata, Aves, Passeriformes, Estrildidae. The record is from RefSeq and is a predicted model, not a curated record.